RNAcentral lists this ribosomal RNA (253 nucleotides) under uncultured bacterium. RNAcentral describes it as "partial 16S ribosomal RNA". It matches the Rfam family "Bacterial small subunit ribosomal RNA", at positions 524 to 776 of the family's 1533-position model. The record is from RNAcentral.
UACGUAGGGUGCAAGCGUUAAUCGGAAUUACUGGGCGUAAAGCGUGCGCAGGCGGCUUUGCAAGACAGAUGUGAAAUCCCCGGGCUUAACCUGGGAAUGGCGUUUGGGACUGGAAGUCUGGAGUGCGGCAGAGGAGACUGGAAUUCCUGGUGUAGCAGUGAAAUGCGUAGAUAUCAGGAGGAACACCGAUGGCGAAGGCAGGUCUCUGGGCUGACACUGACGCUCAUGCACGAAAGCGUGGGGAGCAAACAGG